UACAGGGGGUGCAAGCGUUGCUCGGAAUCACUGGGCGUAAAGCGUACGCAGGCUGCUUCGUAAGUCGGGUGUGAAAGCCCGGGGCUCAACCCCGGAAUUGCGCCCGAAACUGCGGAGCUUGAAUGCGGGAGAGGGAAGCGGAAUUCCUGGUGUAGAGGUGAAAUUCGUAGAUAUCAGGAGGAACACCAGUGGCGAAAGCGGCUUCCUGGCCCGACAUUGACGCUCAUGUACGAAAGCGCGGGGAGCAAACAGG
Molecule: ribosomal RNA, 253 nt
Filed under: uncultured bacterium
Lineage: Bacteria
Description: partial 16S ribosomal RNA
Rfam family: Bacterial small subunit ribosomal RNA
Source: RNAcentral